CCGCCGGCAUCGACUAUGUUAUUCUUGCUUUUGAAUUCGACAAUGGAUCUGUCCGCGGUCGUCGCCUGCUGACGCAAUUCCUGAAUGCGGUCAGAUAGCCAGUUGCCUGCGCGGCGGGCCGAUUGAUACUUGGCGUCGAGCUGAUCGACAAUAUAAGCCUCGGCGACUGCAUUUGCGAUCUGAGCCGCGCGAUCCGGGCUCGCGGAGCGAUAGCUCACUU
This 220-nucleotide unclassified non-coding RNA is filed under the name Hevea brasiliensis (rubber tree). The record is from RNAcentral. Lineage: Eukaryota; Viridiplantae; Streptophyta; Magnoliopsida; Malpighiales; Euphorbiaceae.